RNAcentral lists this unclassified non-coding RNA (323 nucleotides) under soil metagenome. Its description in RNAcentral is "partial contains 5.8S ribosomal RNA, internal transcribed spacer 2, and large subunit ribosomal RNA". The stretch from base 1 to 120 matches the Rfam family "5.8S ribosomal RNA", at positions 35 to 154 of the family's 154-position model. The record is from RNAcentral.
GAUGAAGAACGUAGCGAAAUGCGAUAAGUAGUGUGAAUUGCAGAAUUCAGUGAAUCAUCGAAUCUUUGAACGCACAUUGCGCCCCUUGGUAUCCCGAGGGGCAUGCCUGUUCGAGCGUCAUUUCAACCCUCAAGCUCUGUUUGGUGUUGGGCCCUGCCCGCUGCGGCCGGCCCUAAAGACAGUGGCGGUGCCGCCUGGCCCUGAGCGUAGUACAUCUCUCGCUCCAGUGCCCGGUGGUAGCCUGCCAGAACCCCAACUCUCGUGGUUGACCUCGGAUCAGGUAGGGAUACCCGCUGAACUUAAGCAUAUCAAUAAGCGGAGGA